Molecule: small nuclear RNA, 205 nt
Filed under: Chrysemys picta bellii (western painted turtle)
Lineage: Eukaryota; Metazoa; Chordata; Testudines; Emydidae
Description: U2 spliceosomal RNA (ENSCPBG00000024500.1)
Rfam family: U2 spliceosomal RNA (bases 35-205)
About the family: U2 is a small nuclear RNA (snRNA) component of the spliceosome (involved in pre-mRNA splicing). Complementary binding between U2 snRNA (in an area lying towards the 5' end but 3' to hairpin I) and the branchpoint sequence (BPS) of the intron results the bulging out of an unpaired adenosine, on the BPS, which initiates a nucleophilic attack at the intronic 5' splice site, thus starting the first of two transesterification reactions that mediate splicing.
Source: RNAcentral
AAAACUGGCCCCUCUUUGAGCUGUGGUCAAGUGAAAAAUUCUCUAAGUUGUAUCUGUUCUUAUCAGUUUAAUAUCUGAUAUGUCCUUUAUUUGAGGAUUGUAUAUUAAAUUGAUUUUUGAAACAGGGGGAUGGAAUAGGAGCUUGCUCUGUCCACCCCAUGCAUUGACCUGGUAUUGCAGUGUCUCCAGGAACAGUGCAUCUCCC